CGGUCCAGACUCCUCCGGGAGGCAGCAGUGGGGAAUUUUGGACAAUGGGCGCAAGCCUGAUCCAGCCAUACCGCGUGGGUGAAGAAGGCCUUCGGGUUGUAAAGCCCUUUUGUUGGGAAAGAAAUCCAGCUGGCUAAUACCCGGUUGGGAUGACGGUACCCAAAGAAUAAGCACCGGCUAACUUCGUGCCAGCAGCCGCGG
Molecule: ribosomal RNA, 201 nt
Filed under: Chaetoceros curvisetus
Lineage: Eukaryota; Bacillariophyta; Thalassiosirophyceae; Chaetocerotales; Chaetocerotaceae
Description: partial Bacterial small subunit ribosomal RNA
Rfam family: Bacterial small subunit ribosomal RNA
Source: RNAcentral